RNAcentral lists this ribosomal RNA (580 nucleotides) under uncultured rumen bacterium. Its description in RNAcentral is "bacterial SSU rRNA". It matches the Rfam family "Bacterial small subunit ribosomal RNA", at positions 200 to 797 of the family's 1533-position model. The record is from RNAcentral.
ACCAAAGAUUUAUCGCUCUGGGAUGGGCUCAUGUCUGAUUAGAUAGUUGGCGGGGUAACGGCCCACCAAGUCUGCGAUCAGUAGCCGGACUGAGAGGUUGAACGGCCACAUUGGGACUGAGAUACGGCCCAGACUCCUACGGGAGGCAGCAGUGGGGAAUAUUGGGCAAUGGGCGCAAGCCUGACCCAGCAACGCCGCGUGAAGGAAGAAGGCUUUCGGGUUGUAAACUUCUUUUAUCAGGGACGAAGAAAGUGACGGUACCUGAUGAAUAAGCCACGGCUAACUACGUGCCAGCAGCCGCGGUAAUACGUAGGUGGCGAGCGUUGUCCGGAUUUACUGGGUGUAAAGGGCGCGUAGGCGGGAAGGCAAGUCAGGUGUGAAAUCUAUGGGCUCAACCCAUAAACUGCACUUGAAACUGUUUUUCUUGAGUGUCGGAGAGGUAGAUGGAAUUCCUAGUGUAGCGGUGAAAUGCGUAGAUAUUAGGAGGAACACCAGUGGCGAAGGCGAUCUACUGGACGAUAACUGACGCUGAGGCGCGAAAGCGUGGGGAGCAAACAGGAUUAGAUACCCUGGUAGUCCA